RNAcentral lists this long non-coding RNA (648 nucleotides) under Danio rerio (zebrafish). RNAcentral's name for it is "lncRNA (ENSDARG00000117729.1)". The record is from RNAcentral. Lineage: Eukaryota; Metazoa; Chordata; Actinopteri; Cypriniformes; Danionidae.
ACUCUGCGUUUAUCGGGCACGCGCGCGCGCCCACCAAGCGCCGUCCACGCCCGGUUCUGGAGGGCGGGUGUAGUAACGUCAGCGCGCAGGGGGGGCAGGCUGUGGAUUCUGGGAGCACAAACACACACAUCAGCCAUUUUUCAGUUUGCUGUGCUCAUCCUUUCACUUCAACGCGAACAUCCUCACAACGCAGAGCUGAAAGGGACGAGAAAAAUGGACGAAGCGAAAGCGGGUCAGCAAACGCACGAGCGGCGGUUUUGCUAAUAACAACAAACAAACGAACGCACCAAACACUCGAUGGGACUCACACCGUUUACCUGCUAAAUCGCCUUUGGGACCGAAUCUGGACAUCUCUGAAUCCAUUAAACCACAUUAGAAGUUUGAACCCCAUCCAUAAAGCAGCUUAUAAAAGGUGGUCUGCUGUAUUUUUGUGCUGGUGGUCUCGUGGUUUGGGGUGAUUGUCUCCGCUGGUGCUGCAUUGCAGUCAAUAGGCGUGUUGACUGACGAAGAGCGCCUCUGCUGGACGCAGGUGGAAGUGCAGGUCAAAUAAACUCAUGACGACGACGGUGAUGAUGAAGUUGGUUUUAUAUUCACACAUUAUAACUUUUCCUUUUUUAUAAUUUCAGAAAACAAUGAUUUGCCAAUUCU